This 804-nucleotide long non-coding RNA is filed under the name Actinia tenebrosa (Australian red waratah sea anemone). RNAcentral's name for it is "uncharacterized LOC116287064, transcript variant X1". The record is from RNAcentral. Lineage: Eukaryota; Metazoa; Cnidaria; Anthozoa; Actiniaria; Actiniidae.
CUGGCUCCUAAACUUUAUCAACGAUUUCGUCAAGUUUGUGAGCAAUGGCCUGUGGAUAACACUACAUUUGGAAGAGACCUCGGUGCACAUAUCAAGGAGAACUUCGGGGCUAACAUGAAAAAUUCAAAAAUCGAGACCAUUGAAGCUGAAAAGUCAUGCUGGACAGUCUGGUGAAAAUUAGUUCCAACUAUACAAAGAGAAGCUAAUCUUAAGGCAAACUUAAAGCUUCGAUCAUGCUAGCUUCAAGCCACUCCAAACGCCAUUUGAUAAAGACUCUUCUUAUUUUGAAGAAACAGGAAGAAACCUCCGGACGAGCUCCCAUUUUGAGGACUGUUUGCAUUCCUGGUAUAACUUUUGAUCAAGCUGUAGGCCAAGAGGCAAAUCGGAUAAUUUGGUGCAGACAUUCUGGUUUGAAGGACAGAGGAUUUCUUUGGACCUUAGAUUGUUUAUCAAGAAAAUUGAUUCUGGAGGGAUUUUAGCCAAAGUUUGAAUUUUGAAGAAUUUUGAAGAUGUCCAGUUGAUUUUGUACGAAAUACUGUGACUGAAGUCUCCUACCUUUCCUAAUUUUAAGAAGGGAAAAACAAAAUUUACUGUAAGCCGUGAAAUACUGGACAGAUUGGCCUCAAACUCAUCCUAGACCCACGAGGAUCAAUACGAAAUAGGGCAACAUCUUGCAAACAUGUAAUGGCUAGCCACAAGCAAGGACCUUUAAAGCAAGGUUUGUUCAAGACAUAGCCUAAAAAGGCCCACGUAUUAAAGUUGAGGACAGUGUGACAAAUUUCAAGGAGUAUCAAAAUCAAGGAA